This 468-nucleotide ribosomal RNA is filed under the name uncultured bacterium. RNAcentral's name for it is "partial 16S ribosomal RNA". It matches the Rfam family "Bacterial small subunit ribosomal RNA", at positions 28 to 507 of the family's 1533-position model. The record is from RNAcentral.
GACGAACGCUGGCGGCGUGCUUAACACAUGCAAGUCGAACGGAAAGGCCCUGCUUUUGUGGGUUGCUCGAGUGGCGAACGGGUGAGUAACACGUGAGUAACCUGCCCUUGACUUUGGGAUAACUUCAGGAAACUGGGGCUAAUACCGGAUAGGAGCUCCUGCUGCAUGGUGGGGGUUGGAAAGUUUCGGCGGUUGGGGAUGGACUCGCGGCUUAUCAGCUUGUUGGUGGGGUAGUGGCUUACCAAGGCUUUGACGGGUAGCCGGCCUGAGAGGGUGACCGGCCACAUUGGGACUGAGAUACGGCCCAGACUCCUACGGGAGGCAGCAGUGGGGAAUAUUGCAGAAUGGGCGGAAGCCUGAUGCAGCAACGCCGCGUGCGGGAUGACGGCCUUCGGGUUGUAAACCGCUUUCGACUGUGACGAAGCGUGAGUGACGGUAAUGGGUAAAGAAGCACCGGCUAACUACGUG